Hydra vulgaris (swiftwater hydra) is the source of this 364-nucleotide long non-coding RNA. RefSeq lists it as uncharacterized. The record is from RefSeq and is a predicted model, not a curated record. NCBI's taxonomy places the organism in Eukaryota, Metazoa, Cnidaria, Hydrozoa, Anthoathecata, Hydridae.
AUAUAUAUAUAUAUAUAUAUAUAUAUAUAUAUAUAUAUAUAUAUUGUAUUGUGAUUGUAUGAUGUAUUGAAGUAAUUAUUUCCCAUUUAGAAAAAAAAUAGUUAAUAAUCAAGAGAGGUCUGGUUUCGUAACAAAGAUUUACCAAAUUCAUCAACGUAAUAUUUCUGCUUUACAUCUGACUACAAUGAUUAUUUUUAUUGGCAUUUAGCACCAACAAUGGCAAAAAAUUGGCCUUACGUAAAUCAUUCAUUUAGAGAAACAACUUUAAGUUGACUCGAUAUGAAAAAGAAAGGAAUAAACCUUGUUUUUGUGUAUUUGGAUUGAUUUUUUUAUAAUUUACGAAAUAUAUUUUAAUAUAUUUAAA